AGAGUUUGAUCCUGGCUCAGGACGAACGCUGGCGGCGUGCUUAACACAUGCAAGUCGAACGAUGAAGCCCUUCGGGGUGGAUUAGUGGCGAACGGGUGAGUAACACGUGGGCAAUCUGCCCUGCACUCUGGGACAAGCCCUGGAAACGGGGUCUAAUACCGGAUGACACUUCCUUCCGCAUGGGAGGAGGUUGAAAGCUCCGGCGGUGCAGGAUGAGCCCGCGGCCUAUCAGCUUGUUGGUGGGGUGAUGGCCUACCAAGGCGACGACGGGUAGCCGGCCUGAGAGGGCGACCGGCCACACUGGGACUGAGACACGGCCCAGACUCCUACGGGAGGCAGCAGUGGGGAAUAUUGCACAAUGGGCGAAAGCCUGAUGCAGCGACGCCGCGUGAGGGAUGACGGCCUUCGGGUUGUAAACCUCUUUCAGCAGGGAAGAAGCGAAAGUGACGGUACCUGCAGAAGAAGCGCCGGCUAACUACGUGCCAGCAGCCCGCCGGUAAUACGUAGGGCGCAAGCGUUGUCCGGGAAUUAUUGGGCGUAAAGAGCUCGUAGGCGGCUUGUCACGUCGGAUGUGAAAGCCCGGGGCUUAACCCCGGGUCUGCAUUCGAUACGGGCAGGCUAGAGUGUGGUAGGGGAGAUCGGAAUUCCUGGUGUAGCGGUGAAAUGCGCAGAUAUCAGGAGGAACACCGGUGGCGAAGGCGGAUCUCUGGGCCAUUACUGACGCUGAGGAGCGAAAGCGUGGGGAGCGAACAGGAUUAGAUACCCUGGUAGUCCACGCCGUAAACGUUGGGAACUAGGUGUUGGCGACAUUCCACGUCGUCGGUGCCGCAGCUAACGCAUUAAGUUCCCCGCCUGGGGAGUACGGCCGCAAGGCUAAAACUCAAAGGAAUUGACGGGGGCCCGCACAAGCAGCGGAGCAUGUGGCUUAAUUCGACGCAACGCGAAGAACCUUACCAAGGCUUGACAUAUACCGGAAAGCAUCAGAGAUGGUGCCCCCCUUGUGGUCGGUAUACAGGUGGUGCAUGGCUGUCGUCAGCCUCGUGUCGUGGAGAAUGUUGGGUUAAGUCCCGCAACGAGCGCAACCCUUGUUCUGUGUUGCCAGCAUGCCCUUCGGGGUGAUGGGGACUCACAGGAGACUGCCGGGGUCAACUCGGAGGAAGGUGGGGACGACGUCAAGUCAUCAUGCCCCUUAUGUCUUGGGCUGCACACGUGCUACAAUGGCCGGUACAAUGAGCUGCGAUGCCGUGAGGCGGAGCGAAUCUCAAAAAGCCGGUCUCAGUUCGGAUUGGGGUCUGCAACUCGACCCCAUGAAGUCGGAGUUGCUAGUAAUCGCAGAUCAGCAUUGCUGCGGUGAAUACGUUCCCGGGCCUUGUACACACCGCCCGUCACGUCACGAAAGUCGGUAACACCCGAAGCCGGUGGCCCAACCCCUUGUGGGAGGGAGCUGUCGAAGGUGGGACUGGCGAUUGGGACGAAGUCGUAACAAGGUAACC
This 1493-nucleotide ribosomal RNA is filed under the name Streptomyces sp. QT29. RNAcentral's name for it is "16S ribosomal RNA". It matches the Rfam family "Bacterial small subunit ribosomal RNA". Lineage: Bacteria; Bacillati; Actinomycetota; Actinomycetes; Kitasatosporales; Streptomycetaceae. The record is from RNAcentral.